RNAcentral lists this ribosomal RNA (261 nucleotides) under uncultured archaeon. RNAcentral's name for it is "partial 16S ribosomal RNA". It matches the Rfam family "Archaeal small subunit ribosomal RNA", at positions 748 to 1008 of the family's 1478-position model. The record is from RNAcentral.
CAGCCCUAAACGAUGCGCGUUAGGUGUAUCGGUGACCACGAGUCACCGAGGUGCCGAAGGGAAACCGUGAAACGUGCCGCCUGGGAAGUACGGUCGCAAGGCUGAAACUUAGAGGAAUUGGCGGGGGAGCACCACAACGGGUGGAGCCUGCGGUUUAAUUGGACUCAACGCCGGGAAGCUCACCGGAUAAGACAGCGGAAUGAUUGCCGGGCUGAAGACCCUGCAUGACCAGCUGAGAGGAGGUGCAUGGCGUCAGUGACU